GACGAACGCUGGCGGCGUGCUUAACACAUGCCAGUCGAACGGAAAGGCCCUGCUUUUGUGGGGUGCUCGAGUGGCGAACGGGUGAGUAACACGUGAGUAACCUGCCCUUGACUUUGGGAUAACUUCAGGAAACUGGGGCUAAUACCGGAUAGGAGCUCCUGCUGCAUGGUGGGGGUUGGAAAGUUUCGGCGGUUGGGGAUGGACUCGCGGCUUAUCAGCUUGUUGGUGGGGUAGUGGCUUACCAAGGCUUUGACGGGUAGCCGGCCUGAGAGGGUGACCGGCGACAAUGGGACUGAGAUACGGCCCAGACUCCAACGGGAGGCAGCAGUGGGGAAUAUUGCACAAUGGGCGGAAGCCUGAUGCAGCAACGCCGCGUGCGGGAUGACGGCCUUCGGGUUGUAAACCGCUUUCGCCUGUGACGAAGCGUGAGUGACGGUAAUGGGUAAAGAAGCACCGGCUAACUACGUG
Molecule: ribosomal RNA, 468 nt
Filed under: uncultured bacterium
Lineage: Bacteria
Description: partial 16S ribosomal RNA
Rfam family: Bacterial small subunit ribosomal RNA
Source: RNAcentral